AGUUUUGCACAGUGGCAGUAUCGUAGCCAAUGAGGUUUAUCUGAGGCGCGAUUAUUGCUAAUUGAAAACUUUUCCCAAUACCCCGCCAUGACGACUGAAAUAGUCAGCAUUGGCAAUUUUUGACAGUCUCUACAGAGU
RNAcentral lists this small nuclear RNA (138 nucleotides) under Erinaceus europaeus (western European hedgehog). RNAcentral's name for it is "U4 spliceosomal RNA (ENSEEUG00000018989.1)". It matches the Rfam family "U4 spliceosomal RNA". Rfam says of the family: U4 small nuclear RNA (U4 snRNA) is a component of the major U2-dependent spliceosome. The structure of U4 snRNA from yeast and human has been reported. The record is from RNAcentral. Lineage: Eukaryota; Metazoa; Chordata; Mammalia; Eulipotyphla; Erinaceidae.